Molecule: long non-coding RNA, 9652 nt
Filed under: Homo sapiens (human)
Lineage: Eukaryota; Metazoa; Chordata; Mammalia; Primates; Hominidae
Description: non-protein coding LINC00683:3
Source: RNAcentral
UCUCCCUUCCAGAGUCCCAUUUAACCCUGCUGUGGCCUCCAAAUGGCACCCAAGGAGCUUCAUGCCAGCAUUCACACCUGUGUAGCCCCAUUUCACACCUAACAGAGAGGACCUGUGUUACCACAGGUAAUGCAGAAUGAUGGUAUUAAGGACAUUGCAGCUUCCGCCUUGUGUGGUCUGAUCUCCCAUUCUGGAGUAAGAUAGCACUGUGUCCUGAGGGCAGAGGGGCAGCCCUUUGAGACCCCAGGUGAGGCAGAGCCGGCCUGGAAGUCACCCUUAGGCCCUCAGCCUGACCCACACCAUGCCUGCGGUCUCGUGGGAGACCUUGAGCCAGCACCACCCCGCUGAAGUGCUCCUGAAUCUCAGCCUGCAGAAACUGUGUGAGAUAACCUGUGUUGAUUGUUGUCUAAGCCUCUAAAGGCCGGAUGAGUGUUAGGCAACAAUGGAUAACUAGUAGACCUGGACUUGUGUGGUUCGGGGUCCUAGAUGCUAAAAAUCUGGUUUUAUGCUUGGAUUUAAACCUACCUCUGCCUCUGCCCCGUCGGAGGUCCUUGGCAUUUCCUCCCGGGUUAGGACACCUAGCCCCAGGCAUCUCCUCUCAUGACCUUUACCAAUGUGGUGACAGUUCAGAUGAAGGUCCUUGGCAUGAACAGGAGUUGUAAGGAUGGAUAUAGUGACUCGGUGAUUGAAUACUAAACCCAAAUUUAAAAUAAACGUGGGUCAUUUGGUCCUAUAAUCUUUGAAAAAGCAAUUAUGUAUAACGGCAGAAGGUUUCAGCUGGAUGUCAGAUUAUACGGAUCUAAGAGUCAGUAGGAGGCCAGAAGAGUGGGAACUAUUCUUUUCAAUGUGAUGGUGGGAAGCGAAAACAGAGGGCUCUUUUUUUGUUUCUUGGUUGGUUUGUUUACUAAGGCAUGGAGAGGUGAGCUUGUGUUGUGGGAAUAAGAGAAGGGAUUCGUGGGAGGAGAUUGAAAAUGCAAUCUAGAGAGGGUCAUGGGUGGAGAGGGGUGCAGAAAGAUGGGGGUCAGCUUGACUCUUGUGGUUUCCCUGAACUCUGCCUCAUUCUAGAGAUAACUGGGGUGAACUGGUGUCUCAGUGGGACUGUGGAAUCCACAGGUGCAGAAUGAGGUGCUUGUCCAGCUGAGGUGGGUCUUCCUGGAGUUGGAAGCAUGGAUGUACAGGAAGCCCUGUCACCAAGGCUGGCAAUUCCACCUGAGGAUCAACUCGAGAAGUGGCCAUCAGAAACCUGUGACGAUGAACCCGUGGCUCUCCUUUUGCCUGCUGCACCCCAAGUGUGGGGACUGUACUUGGCACACAAUAGGCAUUUAAUGCACAUUGAAUGGAUGAAGUCUGAAUGUGGUUGCUCAGAGUUGGUGAUUACCGAAGUCAGAAUGGAGGGAGGUCAAGGGGCUGUGUCUUGAGGGAAGAAGGAAGAACCUCGUGGCAAUGGCUGAACUGGGAAUCCAGAGGUAAACUGAUCCAGCAUGGGGGAGGGAGGCUUAGGGUCUGGAGAUGAUUUAAUAAGAGUAGCAGGGCCCGAGAGGGAGGCAGCAGGAAUGUGGCUGGAGGAGCCUCCAGGAGCCCUCUGCCAGGGUCGUGAGAACCCAUGGGCUGGGGCCAGGGAGAUGAGAGGUGGAGGCUGGGACCAUGGUGUCCUCUUCUUAAUCAAAAGCUGAUGCAUUUUGUUUCCUCUUGAAGGUCUCAGAGUCCCCACAAAUCCCUGCCUUGUUCACAACAGUUGGGGCUUUGUGCUUCUCUCUGAAAUAAAACUUUUAUCUUAAAAAAAGAAAAGAGAAUGUAUCCAAUAUAGUAUAUCAUAAUCACAGUAUUGGGAACUUUCCCAACCCUGGUGGGAAGGAGGAGGAAGUCGUGGGUUCACUGGGGCACAGGAAAAAAAUGCCAGAGAUGUCCACCCCUAAUUUUUUUCCUCUCCUCUUCUGGGUUUCUGUUGUAAUGGAUUGAAAAUACACAGGAGAUGUAAUGCAAAACUUGGCUUUGAUUUUUUUUUCCCACCUAACUCUUUAAAGGUUUGGAAAGAUUUGAUUACAUGGCAGGGAAAGUAAAAAUGUGGAUGAGAUAUCCUGACGCUCAGGCCACAUGACCAGGUGAUAAGGCGUUCAGAGACUGCCAGCGGCAGCUGCUGGCUCAGGUGCGGCCUGUGUGGGAGGACUCGUGUCUCGGUGGUUACAGAGAAGCUGGCUUCCACGGUGUGAACCCGACUGAAUCACAGGCCGCUUUUUUGUUCUCCCUCGGCCUUGGAGGGCCUGGGACGUUCCUGUUGCCCAACAUCCUGAAUAACAGAGUACACCAGUCAUCAUAAGAAGAAAAAUUCACAUUUAAAGUUUGGAAAGCAACAGGACAAAGGUCUGUCUUCAGUGGUGCGUAGACAUGCUCGUGAUUGAAUUGGAAAUAGUUCUCUUUCCUUCUCUCUGACUUCCUAACUGAAAAGCUGCAGCGUGGGGAGAAAGGCUGCUCAGAAGCCUGGAGCCAGAACACGCACCCCGGCUUUUGCAGGGCCGGCUCACUUGGUUAGAAUCAAAGGAAAAGCCUUGUUAUUUGGGAAGCUGGGCGUCCUCACCAAAUUAGGGGAUUUAAUUUGCAGAUAUCUAAGGAGUGCUUUGAAAUGAAAGAUGAACUAAAAUCUGCUCUGAGGCCCGUGAUUUUUCACCAGUGAAGGACUCUCUUGCUGCUGGACAUACAUGAAAAGCAUCAUCUGAUCUGAAACGCAAGUCCCUGCAAGACAGAGGAGAGACUUUAUAAACAUUUUAUACCAUUCUAUGAAAUCAAUUCGAUUCAGGGCUAGAAUUCAAGAAGUAAUCCAUGGGCAAGUAUAUCUGAUGGUAAACCCAAACGAUUAUAUUGUUAACCUCUUGUACUUUUUUUAAUUUUUUAUUAUUUGAUAUUAUUAUCACAAAAGUCGCUGGAACAGGAUCCAUGAGCUGCUUCUUCACUGCUUAGUGUUUUCAGAAGCUGAUGGAUUAUUAAGCUCCAAUUGAAUACUUGAUUUCCAAUGAUUCCAUUAAUUUUUCUGGUUUGUGGUAGGAUUUGAUUUACUUAUUUUGUACUUUAACACACCAAUAAAAAAUAGAUACUAAGAAAUAGUGAAAUUUGUUGCUUCAAAAUAACCCUUAAAAUUUAGAGUUUAGUGAAAUUAAGCAAUUCAAAUAGAGAAACGAUUAUCCUUCAUUUCCUUAAGGCACAGAAAUUGAGACUAGGUUCAAGAACCUUCAUAUUUUAAAAACUGGAAAAUACUGGCUAAGUGAGGACUGGGCGGUCAUCCUCCACACAUGCUCUGUGUGCUUGGAGCGAAGAGGGGAACGCACUGAAUGAGAUGAACUGGAAGGAGGUGCAGCAGCGAAGGAAAUCCUUCUGUUGGGAGAGUUCACGUGUUUAGGAUAAUCCUUCGAAUAGGACGCAACAGUGAUGUGAGGAGAAGCUUUGGAGCUGAUUUAGAUUGAGACAGUCUAUCACAGGCUGUUUGGUUGCAUCCCUUUGGGGCCAGUCUCAUUUUAGGUCUAAAUAUGCAGGAAUGGGGCUCUGGCUUCCAGAAGUUUCAGGCUGCAAAAGGCUGGGGCCACCAUCUUUACAGAUAAUCCAUUAGUUUGAUUCUCUUGGGGGCCAGGAAGAAAACCAAGAACACUCAAUGGACUAUGGGACUCAAAUAAUCCACAGGAGGCGUUUGUAAAGGGGCAAAACUGUGUGUGCCCAGUAAUUCUUGGAGCUCGCAAUAGAGGUGGAGAAGCAGUGAUGGGCCCCACAGCAGCAGGGGCUUGGGAAUGACGGAAAAGAACAAAAUGAUGGAAGGACAGCUGGAAGAAACAGGGAAGCUUCCUUUUAACUGGAUGCUGGGUCUCAGCCUUGAAUAGUUCCUGGCCUUCGGAGGCCUUUUCUCAGGGAGCAUGGCCUGGGGACUCCCUGCUUGCUCUGCUGAGCUUUCAGGGAAGGAGAAAUGGGCAAGGCCAGAGGCGACCAUCAGGUGCUCCGUAGGCACAGAGGCAGAACUCAAGGUUUAGCUUUACCUUAAGAGGGUGACUGCAAAGUGUGCUCCCUGGACCAGGGGCCUCGGCCUCACCUGGGAGCUUGCUAAAAAUGCAAGUUGCUCUCACCCAGACUGAAUCUAAAAUUCUGGGUACAGCCCAGCAAUCUCUGCUCACACUUUCUCCAGAUGAUUCUGGUGCAAGCUAACCUUUCAAAAGUCCUGGGUCCCAUUCCCAGAGGCUGUGAUUAAGUUGGUCUAGGGCUGUGGCCUAGACCUGGGGAUUUUGGAAGCCCACAGGUGAUUCUGUUGUGCAGCCAUGGUUGGCAGGCUGUUCACGGUGCUGUUCAACAGGUCCUGCUGUGGGAUGGAAAGGGUCUGUAUCUGCACUGGCCAAUGUGGGAGCCAGCCCUGUGGCUAUUGAGCACUUGGCCCCUGGCUAGUGCAACUGAGGAGCUGAAUUUUUCAUUUCAUUUACUUUUAAUUAAGUUUAAAUAGCUAAAUGUGGCUAUUGUCUGCCUUAUUGGAUAGCAGAGUUCUAGAACCACAGAUAAAUGUAAUACUGUCCCUUUAGUUGAUUUAAAAAUCCAAUGCCUCUGUAAUCCUAGCACUUUGGGAGGCCAAGGUGGGCUGAUCACGAGGUCAAGAGAUCGAGACCAUUCUUGCCAACAUGGUGAAACCCCGUCUCUACUAAAAAUACAAAAAUUAGCCGGGCAUGGUGGCAGGCACCUGUAAUCCCAGCUACUCGGGAGGCUGAGGCAGGAGAAUCACUUGAACCCACGAGGCGGAGCUUGCAGUGAGCCAAGAUUGCACCACUGCACUCCAGCCUGGUGACAGACGGAGAUUCUGUCUCAAAAAAAAAUGCCUCACAGAGUUAAAUAUUUAAGUUGAUAAGAAAAAUGGUAGUCGAGUCUUUGAGGAUUAUUUUAAAAUCCACUUUUGGUGAUAAAUAGAUAAAAACAGUGUGGUAGGGCCCAGAAGUUCUUCCUGAUUUCUACCUGUUGGAGCUGAAUUCCUCAAUUUUACUUGUAGGAGAACGGCUUCCUAAAGGGCACCUUACCCAGCCAUUCCUGCAUGCAAGUGUGUAUGAGAACUGCAGGGGGCAUUAUAUGAAAAUCCAAUUCCUGGGCUCUAUCCCAGAUGUUCCUAUCCAAUAGGUCUGGGUUGGGGCCCUGGAAACUGCAUUUUUGGCAAACCCCUUACUGAUUUGGAUGCACAAGUUUCAAGGAACAGGCACUAAGGAUCGCUGAUGUAGAAUCUGUUUGUCCAUCCAGGAAAGCCAGAGUCACCACACUUGAGUAAAUGGGUUUUGAUGUAGGAAAGGUCUUUAUAAUUCUUUCAUGAAUUCACCAAACUUUAAAAACUGUACUAUUUUUGGCUGGGCUUGGUGGCUCACGCCUGUAAUCUCAGCACUUUGGGGGCCAAGGCGGGUGGAUCAUGAGGUCAGGAGAUCGAGACCAUCCUGGCUAACACGGUGAAAACCUGUCUCUACGAAAAAUACAAAAAAAAAAAAUUAGCCGGGCGUGGUGGCGGGUGCCUGUAGUCCCAGCUACUCAGGAGGCUGAGGCAGGAGAAUGGCGUGAACCCGGGAGGCGGAGCUUGCAGUGAGCCGAGUUCGCACCACUGCACUCCAGCCUGGGUGACAGAGCGAGACUCUGCCUCAAAAAAAAAAAAAAAAGCGGUAGUAUUUUCAAGACUGUGCUAAGCUGGAGGAGAAAUCGGUGAACAGGGUUCAGUGCCUCCCUUUAACUAAUAACAUAAAUACACUUCGUGUUGCUGUGUAGUUAAUAUUCGCAGCUGCUGAAGGUGCUGCAAUUCACCGGGUGACUGCUGAAAACUCCAAUCAGUGCCUGACUUAUGUUCCUUUCCACACUGCACAGGAAGGGCCUUUUUGGGUAGUGUCUACAGCUGUUAACUGUUUGUGGGCUCAGCCUUCAGAUGCUGUGUUACAGAAAGCCCUUACCGCAAUCCUAAAUGCUGCUUCUUUUAUUAAUGGUACUGUCAUUUAUUUAGGGCCUCCUGUAUGUUAGGCAAUCCACAAACAUUGCACAUAGCAUGAAUGUAUUGUUCAAACUGAAAUAUUUUUGAAAGUAAAUGGGGACAAAUUAAAAAUUCUUUCAGGACAGCAAAACUGUGGGACACACUGGGAGGUACUGUCACCUUAAUUAGACAUCAUCAUUACUGGGGGAAUGAGAAUUAUGAGGUCACACAGCUAGGAAGGGGCCAAGGCCCCAGCAUAGGUCUGUCUAAUUCUAUCCUGGGUUGAAUUCUGUGCCCCAAAAUUCAUGUCUACCCAGAAACUCAUAAUUUGACCUUAUUUGGAAAUACGGUCUUUGAAGACAUAAUUAAUUAAGAUGAGGUCAUAUUGUCCACUGCCUGGCUAAGUAUUGAAGGUGUGUCCCAACCUGCACAGGGUCCAUUGGCAAAACCUGGGAGACUUACCGAUUCCAAGUAGUUAAGGAAAUCUCUAAUUAUUAGCUGAUUUCUAAGCUAACUAAGGAGAGACUUCAGUGGCUAUACAUGACAAAGAAUAGAGACUUUACAGAAUUAGUUCAGAAAAGUCACUAAAGAAACAAUUAGCUAUACCUAUAACAAACAACAACAAAUCCUCAAGAGGGGAAAAAUAUUUCCAGAAUUGUCACAUUAUAUUAUCUAAAAUACCUAGUUUUAAAUACAAAAUUAUGAGACAUGCAAAGAAACAAGAAAAUAUUACUCAUUCACAGGAUAGGAACUGUCCCUGAGGAAGCUUAGACAUUGGGCUUACUCAACAAAAACUUUGAAUCAGCUAUUUUAAAUAGAUUCAAAGAACUAAAGAAAACCAUGUCUAAAGGUCUAAGGAAGGGAUGAUAAUGCUGUUUCAAGAAACAGAGAAUAUUAAAAGUGACAUAUAAAUUAUAAAGAAGAAUCAAAUAGAAAUUCUGGAGUUAAAAAGUACAGUAAUGGAAAUACAAAAUUUGCCAAAAGAAAGUCUUAACAGCAUACUUGAGCAACAAAAGAAGCAAAUUUGAAGGUAUGUCUAUAGAGAUUACAUAGCCAGAAGAAAAGAAAUUAAAAGAAUAAAGAAAAGACAAGGAGCCUCAGAGACCUGUGUGACAACUUUAAGCAUAAAAAUAUAUGCAUAAUGGGAAUCCAAGAAGGAGUAAAGAGAAAGAGGCUGAAUGAAUAUUGGAAUAAAUAAUGACCAAAAUCUUCCCAAACCGGUUGAAAGACAUAAAUCUGUACAUCCAAGAAGUUUGAUAAACUCCAAGUAGAAUAAACUCAAACAGAUCCACAUCAAGACACAUCAUAAUGAAACUUUCAAAAGAUAAAGACAAAGAGAGAAUCUUGAAAGCAGCAAGAGAGAAGCAACUCCUCAUGUAUAAGCAAUUCUCAAUAAAAUUUAUAGCUCAUUUCUCAUCAGAAGGAAAUCCUUCAGGGUAAGAUGAAGGUAUCCUAGAAAAUAAAUUGAAUCCACACAAAGAAUAAAAGAACACUGAUAAAAGUAUCUACAAAAGUAAACAUAUAAGACAGUUAUUAAUGUAAUUUUUGUUUGUAACUUCUCUCUUUUUUUUCUUUAUUUUGUAUUUCAAUAGGUUUUUGGGGAACAAGUGGUGUUCGGUUACAUGAAUAAGUUCAUUAGUGGUGAUUUCUGAGAUUUUGAAGCAUCCAUCACCGAAGCAGCAUACACUGUACCCAAUGUGUAGUGUUUUAUCCAUCAUCCCCUCCCACCCUUUCCCCUGAGUCCCCAAAGUCCAUUGUAUUAUUAUUAUUUGUACUUUAAGUUCUGGGAUACAUGUGCAGAAUGUGCAGGUUUUUUACAUAGGUAUACAUGUGCCACAGUGGUUUGCUGCACCCACCAACCUAUCAUCUAGGUUUUAAGCCCCACAUGCAUUAGGUAUUUCUCCUAAUGUUGUCCCUCUCCUAGGCCCCCCAUCCCCUGACAGGCCGCAGUGUGUGAUGUUCCCCCCCUGUGUCCAUGUGUUCUCACUGUUCAGCUCCCACUUAUGAGUGAGAACAUACGGUGUUUGGUUUUCUGUUCCUGUGUUAGUUUGCUGAGAAUGAUGGUUUCCACCUUCAUCCAUGUCCCUGCAAAGGACAUGAACUCAUUCUUUUUUAUGGCUGCAUAGUAUUCCAUAGUGUAUAUGUGCCAUUGUAUUAUUCUUAUGCUUUUACAUCCUCAUAGUUUAGCUCCCACUUAUGAGUGAGAACAUACCAUGUUUGGUUUUCCAUUUCUGAGUCACUUCACUUAGAAUAAGGGUCUCCAAUUCUAUCCAAGUUGUUGUGAAUGCCAUUAUUUCAUUCCUUUUUAUGGCUGAGUAGUAUUCCAUGGUGUGUGUGUGUGUGUGUGUGUGUGUGUGUGUGUGUAUCACAUUUUCUUUAUUCAUUUGUUGAUGGAUGGACAUGUGGGCUGGUUCCAUAUUUUUGCAAUUGCAAAUUGUGCUGCUAUAAACAUGGCAUGUGUAAGUUUCUUAUAAGGACUUUUUCCCUUUGGGUAGAUACCUAGUACUGGGAUUGCUGGAUCAAACAGUGGGUCUACUUUUAGCUCUUUAAGGAAUCACCACACUGUUUUCCAUAAUGGUUGUACUAGUUUAUAUUCCCACCAACGGUGUAAAAGUGUUCCCUUUCUACCACAUCCAUGUCAACAUCUAUUAUUUUUUGAAUUUUGAGUAUAGCCAUUCUUGCAGGAGUGGGGUGGUACCACAUUGUGGUUUUGAUUUGCAUUUCCCUGAUAAUUAGUGAUGUUAAGCAUUUUUCCAUAUGCUUAUUGGCCAUUUGUAUAUCUUUGAGAAUCUCACUUUUUGAUGGGAUUGUUUUUUUCUUGCUGAUUUGUUUGAGCUCUUUGUAGCUUCUGGAUAUUAGUCCUUUGUGAGAUAUAUAGAUUGUGAAGAUUUUCUCCCAUUCUGUGGGUUGCCUGUUAACUGUGCUGAUUAUUUGUUUUGCUGUUGCAGAAGCUUUUUAGUUUAAUUAAGUCCCAUCUAUUUAUCUUUGCUUUUGUUGCAUUUGCAUUUGGGUUCUUGGUCAUGAAGUCUUUGCCUAAGUCAAGGUCUAGAAGGGUUUUUCCAAUGUUAUCUUCUAGAAUUUUUAUGAUUUCAGGUCUUAGAUUUAAGUCUUUGAUCUAUCUUGAGUUGAUUUUUGUACAAGGUGAGAGAUGAGGAUCCAGUUUCAUUCUUCUACAUAUGGCUUGCCAUGUACUUCAGCACCAUUUUUUGAAUAGGGUGUCCUUGCCCAGCUUUAUGUUUUUGUUUGCUUUUUCAAAGAUCAGUUGGCUCUAAGUAUUUGGCUUUAUUUCUGGGGUUUCCUAUUCUAUUCCAUUGCUCUAUAUGCCUAUUUUUAUACCAGUACCAUGCUGUUUUGGUGACUAUGGCCUUAUAGUAUAGUUUGAAGUCGGAUAUGUGAUGCCUCCAGAUUUGUUCUUUUUGCUUAGUUUUGCUUUGGCUUUGCGGGCUCUGUUUUGGUUCCAUAUAAAUUUUAGGAUUUUUUUUCUAGUUCUGUGAAGAAUGAUGGUGGUAUCUUGAUGGGAAUUGCACUGAAUUUGUAGAUUGCUUUUGGCAGUAUGGUCAUUUUCACAAUAUUGAUUCUACCCAUCCGUGAGCAUGGAAUGUGUUUCCAUUUGUUUGUGCCAUCUAUUAUUUCUUUCAGCAGUGUUUUGUAGUUUUCCUUGUAGAGGUCUUUCACUUCCUUGGUUAGCUAUAUUCCUAA